Molecule: ribosomal RNA, 497 nt
Filed under: uncultured bacterium
Lineage: Bacteria
Description: partial 16S ribosomal RNA
Rfam family: Bacterial small subunit ribosomal RNA
Source: RNAcentral
GAUGAACGCUGGCGGCGUGCCUAAUACAUGCAAGUCGAGCGAACAGACGAGGAGCUUGCUCCUCUGACGUUAGCGGCGGACGGGUGAGUAACACGUGGAUAACCUACCUAUAAGACUGGGAUAACUUCGGGAAACCGGAGCUAAUACCGGAUAAUAUAUUGAACCGCAUGGUUCAAUAGUGAAAGACGGUUUUGCUGUCACUUAUAGAUGGAUCCGCGCCGCAUUAGCUAGUUGGUAAGGUAACGGCUUACCAAGGCAACGAUGCGUAGCGGACCUGAGAGGGUGAUCGGCCACACUGGAACUGAGACACGGUCCAUACUCCUACGGGAGGCAGCAGUAGGGAAUCUUCCGCAAUGGGCGAAAGCCUGACGGAGCAACGCCGCGUGAGUGAUGAAGGUCUUCGGAUCGUAAAACUCUGUUAUUAGGGAAGAACAAAUGUGUAAGUAACUAUGCACGUCUUGACGGUACCUAAUCAGAAAGCCACGGCUAACUACGUG